GCCGCGCCGCCAUUUCCUUGUCCCCCGUCGCCGCGCCGCCAUCUCCCCUGGUCGCCGCAGCCGCGCGGCCAUCUCACCUACCCCCCGUCGUCGCGCCGCCAUCUCGCCUGGCUCCGGUCGCGCCGUUCACCACCGGUGCCCCUGCAGCGCUACCUCCUCCUGUCGGUGGGGCUCCGUCGCUGCAUGCCCCUGGCCGUUCACUGCCUCCACCCGGGUCGUUUAACGGGCAUACGACAAGCAGUUCGACGCCACAACUUAGGAGAUUCGACGAUGCUCCACCUUCUCGGCUAGUGGGCCAACACGGCUGUCCUCACGGUGGCCUCCCUUCGACGACCUGAGGUGCCCUCAUGGCCUCAUCUACUUCCUACCUAAUAGAUCACGGCGGCCCUCCCCCACCUACUGCUCGUCAUCAUCGAUCUCAACAAUGAAGGGGGGCCAAAAUAAACGUGAACCUCACCGCCCUCUUCAUGUAUGAGUUUGGAAGGCCAGUAAGUUCUACUUCUGGCAUAAGCCAACGGAGCAUCGGUCGAACAAGGCCGAGGCGCCUCGUGCCAGCUCCGGGCAUCGCUGGAGGCCCUACCUGUUCUUCCACUGCCCCUGUGCACUCACCGUCGAGCCUAUCCAUGCACAGCUCUGGUAGCCCAGCGUCACAAUACACAGUGGCCGGUGGAGCAGCUCCCUCCUCUCAGCUGCUCAAUGGAUUGCAGAGGCGUGACAUUGCUAGGAGUUCAACAUGCAGAACCGUGCAUGUCCAAGUUCCUGCACCUGCAAGCAAACUCCAGUGAAGGUGUAACCAGUAAUUACACAAGUGAAGAUCCAUCCGACACCAAGGGCCGAAUUAAUAAAAUAUUGCUGGCCAUUUGCUCCCAUGCCAUGGAGAUUUGAGCCCCCUGAGCUUGUUGUUGCACAAUGGUGAUUCUCACUACUGGUUGUGCAUGCGCAUUGGUGUGCUGUAGAGUGAUGUGAAACACUCAGUUCAAUUUCACAUUAACUAUCUUGUCACACACUCAGUUCAAUUUCUUGAUUUAGUUUCAGUUCAAAGACUGCGAAUGUUUGUUGCCUAACGCCACAUGGUGGUAAGCUUAUUUAAUGAGUUUCCUGAUGCAAAUGCCCCUGGCCACCCUCGCGCCACCGCAGCGCCCAGGCCGGUCACCACCGGUGCCACAGUCCGUUCACUGCCGAUAGAAGAGGCCGUUCAGUGAUGCAGCGAUGAGGCCAACCGCUGUCGUCUGUCUACCUCCUUCCCCGGUGAGCCCAUGCUCUUCUGCACUUGAUGCUUGAGCUACCUGCACUUCUUUUCUCUGUUCGGAAAUUCCCAAAGCAUCAGUAUUUUGUAUCAGGAGACACCAUGUUAGUUAUGCAAAUUUCUCUUAUGCUUGUAUGUCCAAAAAUGUGUACAGUUACUACUUUUGACUUCUUGUAGUGCAGAGAAGUUACCCUGUGCUGGGCUGACCUCGAGGCUCCUUCUCCAUGUCGACACAAUUGUAGGACUAACGUGCUACUGACCACGCAAGCUUCCUCAAGGAGCUCGUGUCCAAUGAUACUGAAAGGAAAAAUUGCUCCAGUUUUGAACUUCUUAUUCAGUCAUGCUAUUACUGAGUGAAAAAUGGAGUGAAAGUGUAUUGCAAUUGAUCUGUCUUAGACCCUGGCAAUCCUCUAUUUAGCCUGCUUGUUUUUUGGUUUGUAAUUCAAGAACUUUGACGUUCGUAAUUCGGUCUUUGGUUAAUUUGUUAUGCCCAGUACAAACCGUUAAAUCUGAAGAGGCUUCUAAUAGCAAGAAAAUGUACA
Molecule: long non-coding RNA, 1788 nt
Organism: Triticum dicoccoides
Lineage: Eukaryota; Viridiplantae; Streptophyta; Magnoliopsida; Poales; Poaceae
Exons: 5
Source: RefSeq, a predicted model, not a curated record